Vicia faba (fava bean) is the source of this 240-nucleotide non-coding RNA. The record is from the annotation of a GenBank genome assembly. Lineage: Eukaryota; Viridiplantae; Streptophyta; Magnoliopsida; Fabales; Fabaceae.
AUGUUGCAGCUAAAAUAUGUUUUUCUUGUAGUGAUUAUUGCUUCUACUUCUGUUCUUCAGCCUCAGAUUUAUGUUGUGGUGACUACCACAGAGGUAUUCAAAAUUGUUGUCCUAGUUUCAGCUUCUAAAAUGGGUCAGACGGCUACUACCACAGCUGAUUUAUCUGCUCGGGGACCUUCAACUUCUCAUUCCCCUGCCAAGAGGGUUAGGGUGAUAAUACGUCCACUCCCAUUGGUAUAG